RNAcentral lists this ribosomal RNA (227 nucleotides) under Clostridioides difficile. RNAcentral's name for it is "partial 16S ribosomal RNA". It matches the Rfam family "Bacterial small subunit ribosomal RNA", at positions 1314 to 1533 of the family's 1533-position model. The record is from RNAcentral. Lineage: Bacteria; Bacillati; Bacillota; Clostridia; Peptostreptococcales; Peptostreptococcaceae.
GCCUACAUGAAGCUGGAGUUACUAGUAAUCGCAGAUCAGAAUGCUGCGGUGAAUGCGUUCCCGGGUCUUGUACACACCGCCCGUCACACCACGGGAGUUGGAGACGCCCGAAGCCGAUUAUCUAACCUUUUGGAAGAAGUCGUCGAAGGUGGAAUCAAUAACUGGGGUGAAGUCGUAACAAGGUAGCCGUAUCGGAAGGUGCGGCUGGAUCACCUCCUUUCUAAGGA